GAUAUGGCUCAGGAUGAACGCUAGCUACAGGCUUAACACAUGCAAGUCGAGGGGCAGCAUGAACUUAGCUUGCUAAGUUUGAUGGCGACCGGCGCACGGGUGAGUAACACGUAUCCAACCUGCCGAUGACUCGGGGAUAGCCUUUCGAAAGAAAGAUUAAUACCCGAUGGCAUAAUUCUUCCGCAUGGUAGAACUAUUAAAGAAUUUCGGUCGUCGAUGGGGAUGCGUUCCAUUAGGUUGUUGGG
This 245-nucleotide ribosomal RNA is filed under the name uncultured bacterium. RNAcentral's name for it is "partial 16S ribosomal RNA". It matches the Rfam family "Bacterial small subunit ribosomal RNA", at positions 15 to 253 of the family's 1533-position model. The record is from RNAcentral.